GCCCCCGUAGCACAAUGGAUAGUGCAAGGGACUUCUAAGCCCGAGAUGUAGGUUCGAUUCCUACCGGGGGUACCA
Molecule: transfer RNA, 75 nt
Filed under: Candidatus Uhrbacteria bacterium
Lineage: Bacteria; Candidatus Uhriibacteriota
Description: tRNA-Arg
Rfam family: tRNA
About the family: Transfer RNA (tRNA) molecules are approximately 80 nucleotides in length. Their secondary structure includes four short double-helical elements and three loops (D, anti-codon, and T loops).
Source: RNAcentral